GGUAUGGAGCCUGCCCUCAGUUUUCUCUGAUCUCCUGAAGGAUUCCUCUAAAUCUUCAGUAUCUGUUGUGAGCAGUAAAUCAACAGCAGAGCUCCCGAUGCCUUUACUGGGGAACAGGAUCAGCAUUUUUCCCUGUAAAGAGCCAGUGUUCUCCAGCCGUGUCGACACCUGGAAUUUUUGGCUGAGGAUCCUCACCACUGUGAGCCUACACAGCACUGCACUGUUGCAGGAACCUUCAUCCCAUAGGCUACUCAAGGCAGUUCCAGUUCCAGAGUUUGAAAUACUACUUGAUUUUUCCUUGUGAGGGCAGACCAUUACUAAC
RNAcentral lists this long non-coding RNA (322 nucleotides) under Coturnix japonica (Japanese quail). RNAcentral's name for it is "lncRNA (ENSCJPG00005017098.1)". Lineage: Eukaryota; Metazoa; Chordata; Aves; Galliformes; Phasianidae. The record is from RNAcentral.